CGAGCGGACAGAUGGGAGCUUGCUCCCUGAUGUUAGCGGCGGACGGGUGAGUAACACGUGGGUAACCUGCCUGUAAGACUGGGAUAACUCCGGGAAACCGGGGCUAAUACCGGAUGGUUGUUUGAACCGCAUGGUUCAAACAUAAAAGGUGGCUUCGGCUACCACUUACAGAUGGACCCGCGGCGCAUUAGCUAGUUGGUGAGGUAACGGCUCACCAAGGCAACGAUGCGUAGCCGACCUGAGAGGGUGAUCGGCCACACUGGGACUGAGACACGGCCCAGACUCCUACGGGAGGCAGCAGUAGGGAAUCUUCCGCAAUGGACGAAAGUCUGACGGAGCAACGCCGCGUGAGUGAUGAAGGUUUUCGGAUCGUAAAGCUCUGUUGUUAGGGAAGAACAAGUACCGUUCGAAUAGGGCGGUACCUUGACGGUACCUAACCAGAAAGCCACGGCUAACUACGUGCCAGCAGCCGCGGUAAUACGUAGGUGGCAAGCGUUGUCCGGAAUUAUUGGGCGUAAAGGGCUCGCAGGCGGUUUCUUAAGUCUGAUGUGAAAGCCCCCGGCUCAACCGGGGAGGGUCAUUGGAAACUGGGGAACUUGAGUGCAGAAGAGGAGAGUGGAAUUCCACGUGUAGCGGUGAAAUGCGUAGAGAUGUGGAGGAACACCAGUGGCGAAGCGACUCUCUGGUCUGUAACUGACGCU
Molecule: ribosomal RNA, 701 nt
Filed under: Bacillus sp. RSKK5
Lineage: Bacteria; Bacillati; Bacillota; Bacilli; Caryophanales; Bacillaceae
Description: bacterial SSU rRNA
Rfam family: Bacterial small subunit ribosomal RNA
Source: RNAcentral